GAUAAUAAUUCUUUGCCACUAUCGCAAAUUAGAUUAUGAGCUCUAAUUUUAUGACUUCUUAUAUUAGACCAUUGAAAGUAAAGAAGAUUAAUACAGGAGCCAAGUAGUAGUAUCAGUCGGAUAAGUAGGCAUAUCGAUUAUGAAUGGGCGUCCAGGUCCAUUCAGGUUGAACGUGACCCAGCGGCUAGUCGUCUCGACGAUAUUGCUCGUCUUACUCGGGAGAAGAAGAAGGAGAAGCCCCAGCCUCGGUUUCCUUCACCGAGUUGUCAAGAAUUAUCUUAGUUGGUUGUUGUUAGAACUUGGGAGGAUGGGACACAAAUCGAAUGCAGAUGUUACGAGUUGUCGAAAGGGUUUUAACAACGGCGAAAGAUGAGAGUAGGUGCGGUCAGUGUCUUCGGGUACACGAGACCGAGAUAGUCGUUUUGUCUCGUUGCUUCUGUAACUACAUUUACGCGUAUGUAUAUACACGAGGUCCAAAAGAAAGAAGGAGAUGUGAGAUUAACAUCAGCGCGUUGCAACACGCUACCUAGCAAGCAAGCAAGAAAGCAAGCAGUCACCGUCUCGGAGUGGCUCACGCCACCAAUCCACCAAAACUAUUUCCAGACGCAUUUCAUUAAUCUUGAACCAAAAACGUCCAGCGGAAAAUGGCGAGUCGUGUCGUGCCAUGCUAUGCCAUGCCAUGCUAUGCUAAGCUAGCUGACUGGCUGGCUGGUUGGCUGGCUGGCUGGCUGGUGUGAGAACUCUGGUUUAAAAUGCGUUCAGGCCACCUGGCAGAAAUAGCAGCCGUGACGACGUCGUCGUUUUCCCUUCGCGACAACGCGACACGCGCUUUACCGAGUAACGUAAAAAAAGAUUAAUCUAAAAGCAAGAGAAAGAGAGGGAAUGUGUUUAUUGUACAUAGGGUGCUAACCCCGCACGUACUAAAGUUAAAUUAAGAGAUUCUUAUUUAGGUACGAAGGUGAAAGUAUCAUAUUUAUUGCAGUUAUUAUAACGAGGUUAAAUGUAAUUAACGAUACCUUAUUAUUAUUUCAAUAUAAAAUUAGCGAAGCUAGGAUUCACCAUACAUUUUUGAUUUACUCAAUUUGUUCUUCUUUUAUUUCCAAGAUUUAAUCUAUUUCCUAGCGGAUAUUGUCAUUAAUUAUUUACGCUAGACUGCAGGUGUUCUAUUAGCGAAAUGUUGGAUUAGUUUUAUGUUUGAAUUUAAGAUAUGUUUCUUCCUCUUUACGAAGCGGAACGAUAGAAAAAAUAAUAUAUACUUGCUGGAUAAUUGUCUUUUCUUACACAUUAUAAAGAUAAUGAUGAUUAUGAUUAUGUUAAUGAUGAUGAUGAUGAUGAUGAUGAUGAUGAUGCUUGAUGAUGAUGACGACGAAGAUGAGAUUAACAUCUUCUAAUAAUAGAUGAUCUAUGUCCUCGCACGAAUUUAAUUCACGAGACCGGAAACCGAUUCCGAAAUACUUAUUCCAAAUGAGAGUGCGGAAGUAUUAAAGGGAACGUUUCUCAACGUGUAACGUGCAAAAUAUAACGACGAAAACUACGACACCCACGGGAUACACACGUCAAUAGAUACGAUUCAAAGAUCUCCGGAAUAAAAACUAGAAAAAUUCAAAGUAUAAGCGUGACUAUUGAUGGAGUAACGUGAAAAAUGUGGAAACAAUAUUGAAAACGAUAAUAUACAUGUCAAUCGAUUACGAUGAACAACUACGACAAAAAGAACGACAACAAAUGUUCACGGAUUCUUCCAAGGAAGAAAUAGCGUUGCGUAUAGAAGAGAAUGAGUCGGAGAUAUCUGAAUUAGAAUCGAUAAAAGUUGAACGACGAUCAUCUGAAGAAAUUUGGAUUAAAGAUAUCAUUGAAAAUUGUAUUUUGAUUUUACCAAUUGAACGAAGAAAAGAACAAAAUGAUGAUUGUUACUCCUUGUCAGAAGACAUCUGUAGAAUUUGCCACAUGGGUGGUACUUUGCUGUCCUCCAAUAAGAAUCAAUCAAGAAGUCAACCCGAGGAGAAGCAAAUUCGGAUAUCCGCGUUCUCCUCCUAUUCCUAUUUGGGUCCUCUUAUCUCUGCAUGCAAAUGUCGAGGAACCGUAGGCCUGGUUCAUGCGGAUUGUCUCGAGAGAUGGUUAACGGAAUCUGGUCAUACGAGAUGCGAGUUGUGCGGGUACAAAUAUACAACCAAGAGAAUACCACGUCACAGUAUUUUACGUAGCCUGUUAAUAUGGUUCAAGACGGUAGUAGUUACGCGUCAGAUGUUCUUGGACGUUCUUUAUCUGGUCGUGACGACUCCAUUGGCUCUGUUCGCUUGCUACGUUUGCGUUAUAGCGUUGAAAUUAUUAAUAGAGAGUGGCUUUUAUCAGGUGCCAUGGGUAAUCGUCGUCAUGUUACCGACCUGUUCUCUCACGCUCGUUGCUUAUUGGGCUUGGUUAAUGACUUUAGGAAGAUUACACAUUCGCCGUUGGCGUCGCUAUUGGAGAAAUAACUUCGUCGUACGUCUUCUACCGGAGGACAUCAAUAACCUUGCAAACGAACAAAGCAUCGAGUCUACCACGAUUGAUGAUUUUUAUCAAGAAGUUGAGAAUGAACGAAUGAACGAUAGACGAUUAAUUGGAACUUCUCUUUAACGAGAGAGUAACUUGAUCUACGAUGAUGAUGAUGAUGAUGAUGAUAAUGAUAAUGAUGAUGAUGAUGAUCGAACAAGACAAUUCGAUCCUUGUGUACCAUCAAAUGAGAAGCAAGAAAAUUCGUAACUUCUGAUGGUUUUCUAAGAAGACAGGUAGCUCUGACUGGAAAGAGAAACAGCUUCUCGACUUUCCCUUCGAUAGGAUCAAAAACGUGCUCCGACGAGAUAAUAACCGUGUUAGUUACAGGCCAAUGAAGUCAAAUCGAUGGACCGGCGCCAAGCAAUACUCGUUCGGUAGUGCAUUUUAGAAAUUCAACGUGCAAAAACUAACACGCUCAAUGAUUUACUUCAAUUAUUUCUUAUCUGUUAUCGUUUAAACAUAAUGAAACGAUUAUCCAUAAAAUACGAAGUAUAGUUAAGACUAACAAAAUAUAUUCAAAAUUGAUUAAGAAUUUAAAUUCAUUUAGAUACAAUACCUGUGAUAGUUUUUAUACUAGACCCCUC
Molecule: unclassified non-coding RNA, 3116 nt
Filed under: Polistes dominula (European paper wasp)
Lineage: Eukaryota; Metazoa; Arthropoda; Insecta; Hymenoptera; Vespidae
Description: e3 ubiquitin-protein ligase MARCH3-like, transcript variant X2
Source: RNAcentral